CGUACACUCCUGCGGGAGGCAGCAGUGGGGAAUAUUGGACAAUGGGCGCAAGCCUGAUCCAGCCAUGCCGCGUGAGUGAUGAAGGCCCUAGGGUUGUAAAGCUCUUUCACCGGUGAAGAUAAUGACGGUAACCGGAGAAGAAGCCCCGGCUAACUUCGUGCCAGCAGCCGCGGUAAUACGAAGGGGGCUAGCGUUGUUCGGAUUUACUGGGCGUAAAGCGCACGUAGGCGGACUAUUAAGUCAGGGGUGAAAUCCCGGGGCUCAACCCCGGAACUGCCUUUGAUACUGGUAGUCUUGAGUUCGAGAGAGGUGAGUGGAAUUCCGAGUGUAGAGGUGAAAUUCGUAGAUAUUCGGAGGAACACCAGUGGCGAAGGCGGCUCACUGGCUCGAUACUGACGCUGAGGUGCGAAAGCGUGGGGAGCAAACAGGAUUAGAAACCCUUGUAGUCCCAUG
Molecule: ribosomal RNA, 453 nt
Filed under: uncultured organism
Description: partial 16S ribosomal RNA
Rfam family: Bacterial small subunit ribosomal RNA
Source: RNAcentral